UGCACACUUGACUGUAAGUCGCUUUGGAUAAAAGAGUCUGCUAAAUGGCAUAUU
Non-coding RNA from Salmo salar (Atlantic salmon), 54 nucleotides. Lineage: Eukaryota; Metazoa; Chordata; Actinopteri; Salmoniformes; Salmonidae. The record is from Rfam.